AGACACUACCAGAGUUGUGGCUGGAAGUUACUUGGAGCCAGAGUCUCCGCCCAGGAAUGGGCGCUGGCCUCUACCGCAGGGAGGCGAGGGGUUGACCCUGGGCGUGGCCGAGACCUGCGGGCUCCAGUCUGGUGAAGGGGACCGGAGAGCGCCAGGCCUAAGCAGAAGCAGGUCGGACUGGAGCAGAACCAGGCGCUCCCAGGGAUUGAACUCGGGACCUUGUGCUUGUGAGGCAGGCACCAGAACCACUGAGCAGUUUUUUGUGGGCCCCAGUCCUGUCUAACCCAAGUGUAUAAAUCAUCUUCUCUACCCAGGAACCCAUAACAUGGGGAACCCAGUGGGAAGCUGGCAGUGUGCUGAGUGAAGUGACUCUGUGGAUAUCACAAUGAGAAGUCAGGGAGGUGUCACCCUGCUCAGGCUCCUGCUCGUCCUGGCUGCGCUGUGUUGCACAGGUUUCAGCCUGACUUGCUAUGAGUGUGCUUCCCACAAUCAAAACUGCACUGUUCCCAUAGUGUGUGCACCAGAUAUGGAUGCAUGCCUCUAUGCUAAAGCUGAGGGGCUCCACUCUUCACCUUCAUCUUGGGUGUCGUCUCCUGACUUCCCAUGCAGACUCUUAAGCCUCCAGCACAGACGCUUCAGCCUUCCGUUGCAGACCCUUUGGCCUCUUGGUAGGGACUCACUUGGGACACUACAGUGAGCGCCAGGCCUUCACCUGGAUCCUUUAGAUCCCCAGCGUGCAGAGGGCCGUUUUGCACUCUUCCACACCUGACUCUUGGAGUGGCCAUU
Heterocephalus glaber (naked mole-rat) is the source of this 786-nucleotide non-coding RNA. The record is from RefSeq and is a predicted model, not a curated record. Lineage: Eukaryota; Metazoa; Chordata; Mammalia; Rodentia; Bathyergidae.